This 369-nucleotide long non-coding RNA is filed under the name Rattus norvegicus (Norway rat). RNAcentral's name for it is "long non-coding RNA NONRATT018698". The record is from RNAcentral. Lineage: Eukaryota; Metazoa; Chordata; Mammalia; Rodentia; Muridae.
AGGAGCCUGUAGAUCCUGGUUGCAUCUUUGUCACUGUACAAUUUUACAAGAGAAAAACAUGUCCACAAGGUUGUGUCUGGGAAGAACUUUUACUUGAAAAUUGAGCUAGGCCAAACCAUGUGUACCAAAGCCCAGUCUGAUUUGGCUGAUUGUCCCUUCAAUGAACAGCCAGAUCAACAGAAGAGGGCCGUCUGUAAUUUCCAGAUCAAUGUUGAACCUUGGCUGAACAAGAUAUCCCUGACAAACUUCAAAUGUUACAAUGUCUGAGGAUCUAUGUCAGGCUACACUUCUGUUGAAUACCCCUUACUCUUACUCAAUCAUCUCCUUAAGUUUUCCUUUACUUAGACAGAGAGCAUAGCCCUGAAGAAU